CGAACUCAAAGAGGUCAUGAUUC
This 23-nucleotide small nuclear RNA is filed under the name Arabidopsis thaliana (thale cress). RNAcentral's name for it is "snRNA_14884". Lineage: Eukaryota; Viridiplantae; Streptophyta; Magnoliopsida; Brassicales; Brassicaceae. The record is from RNAcentral.